This 447-nucleotide ribosomal RNA is filed under the name uncultured bacterium. RNAcentral's name for it is "bacterial SSU rRNA". It matches the Rfam family "Bacterial small subunit ribosomal RNA", at positions 331 to 792 of the family's 1533-position model. The record is from RNAcentral.
CCAGACUCCUACGGGAGGCAGCAGUGGGGAAUAUUGCGCAAUGGGGGAAACCCUGACGCAGCAACGCCGCGUGAGUGAAGAAGGCCUUCGGGUUGUAAAGCUCUUUAAUCAGGGACGAAGAAUGACGGUACCUGAAGAAUAAGCUCCGGCUAACUACGUGCCAGCAGCCGCGGUCAUACGUAGGAUCCGAGCAUUAUCCGGAGUGACUGGGUGUAAAGAGUUGCGUAGGUGGCAUAAUAAGUAGCUAGUGAAAUCUGGUGGCUCAACCAUUCAGACUAUUAGCUAAACUGUUAAGCUCGAGACCGUUAGGGGUAACUGGAAUUUCUAGUGCAGGAGUGAAAUCCGUAGAUAUUAGAAGGAACACCAAUAGCGUAGGCAGGUUACUGGGACGGUUCUGACACUAAGGCACGAAAGCGUAGGGAGCAAACGGGAUUAGAUACCCCAGUA